RNAcentral lists this ribosomal RNA (253 nucleotides) under uncultured bacterium. Its description in RNAcentral is "partial 16S ribosomal RNA". It matches the Rfam family "Bacterial small subunit ribosomal RNA", at positions 524 to 776 of the family's 1533-position model. The record is from RNAcentral.
UACGGAGGGGACUAGCGUUGUUCGGAAUUACUGGGCGUAAAGCGCGCGUAGGCGGACCUGCAAGUCGGGGGUGAAAGCCCGGGGCUCAACCUCGGAACUGCCUUCGAUCCUGCGGGUCUCGAGUCCGGGAGAGGUGAGCGGAAUUCCUAGUGUAGAGGUGAAAUUCGUAGAUAUUAGGAAGAACACCAGUGGCGAAGGCGGCUCACUGGCCCGGUACUGACGCUGAGGCGCGAAAGCGUGGGGAGCAAACAGG